CUUCUACUCUACUUAAUGUGUUAUAAUUUGUUGGAUGAGCCACCUAAGUCGAAAAACUUUUUCUCUUGUUGUGACAUGAUUACUUAGGCAACAUCAAUCUCUCUUGCUUGAAAAAAAUAUGUCCUCAAUGUGUAGUUUUUGAGCUUCUUGAUAGGUUUGAUUUCAUAAGUAACAAAUCCAUAUUUUCCAAAAUCCUUUAUUGAUAUAUUAGAUGUGCUUAUAGUAUUUUUGUAACUGAAGAUCUUCAAAAAUCUCAUAAAACUUUUUGAUUCACCACAAUAAAAUUAAAAUUAAAAGUUUCUCCACUUCCUAGAGAAACUAAAAUCUAGAUGAGAUGGCUUUUAUGAAGUUGAAGAGCAUGGUGUUUCAAAGUCAAUGGUUAAUAGUUCAAACCAUACUUUAAGCACAAACCUCAACUUUGUAAGGAGCCCAUCCCUCUAAAAUA
This 445-nucleotide long non-coding RNA is filed under the name Spirodela polyrhiza (greater duckweed). Its description in RNAcentral is "long non-coding RNA (SPOL_LNC001346)". The record is from RNAcentral. Lineage: Eukaryota; Viridiplantae; Streptophyta; Magnoliopsida; Alismatales; Araceae.